This 345-nucleotide unclassified non-coding RNA is filed under the name soil metagenome. Its description in RNAcentral is "partial contains 5.8S ribosomal RNA, internal transcribed spacer 2, and large subunit ribosomal RNA". The stretch from base 1 to 120 matches the Rfam family "5.8S ribosomal RNA", at positions 35 to 154 of the family's 154-position model. The record is from RNAcentral.
GAUGAAGAACGCAGCGAAAUGCGAUACGUAAUGUGAAUUGCAGAAUUCAGUGAAUCAUCGAGUCUUUGAACGCACAUUGCGCCCCCUGGUAUUCCGGGGGGCAUGCCUGUCCGAGCGUCAUUGCUGCCCUCAAGCACGGCUUGUGUGUUGGGCCUCCGUCCUCCUCCCGGGGGACGGGCCCGAAAGGCAGCGGCGGCACCGCGUCCGGUCCUCGAGCGUAUGGGGCUUCGUCACCCGCUCUUGUAGGCCCGGCCGGCGCUUGCCGACACAUCAAUCUUUUUUCCAGGUUGACCUCGGAUCAGGUAGGGAUACCCGCUGAACGUAAGCAUAUCAAUAAGCGGAGGA